RNAcentral lists this long non-coding RNA (1786 nucleotides) under Homo sapiens (human). RNAcentral describes it as "HSALNT0154646". The record is from RNAcentral. Lineage: Eukaryota; Metazoa; Chordata; Mammalia; Primates; Hominidae.
CUCAACAUUGUUGCACACAAAUAUGUCAGAAACACCUGACUGGACCAGCAAAAAAAAAAAUAUGAUUCACCAUUAAUCCUGUUUCUUUGGAAUUUUUCCUGGAGACCCAUGGUAGAGUCCAGAUCACCUUUGAUGCUUCCCUUCUUUUCAACAUACAGAACCAGUACCCAAUCCUCAAAGUUGUGCCUCCUAGCUUUUUUGAAACUAUUCCUCCUGCCAUAAGUCAAGUGGUCGGUAUUCUUUACCUGAACUGAUAUAGCAAACUUGUCUGACUGUCUUUCAGAUGCCACUGCUACUCCUUCACUUGCUCAUUCUGCAAAAGUUUGUAGAUCUUCUGCAAGGAGAACGGCAUUGUUAACUACCUACAGGAAGUGGUGUUGAUUUCCAAGAAAGAUCUUGUUCUUCAAACUCUGUUACAGCGUCUUCUCUGGAGAAGUCAACAGUGAGAUGGGCUAAAUGAAGAAGGAGCAGCUUAUUGUCUUUGUUGGUUUUCUUUAUUUUCCUUCGAAGCAUCUGGGGGAAGAGGAAGACAAUGGAUGAGAUGGCGUAUGUUCUUUCCGCCCUGUGAAUGAAUCAGAUUUGAACUCCUAAGCAAAAUAGAAAAUGCAGAAAUGGUGCUCAGGCAAAACCUGAGAGACACCGGGCUCAAGCGACUCUCCUCUGAAGUCCAUCUGAUAAAGUCUGAAUUAUGGAUAAGUCCUUUCCCCCUCAAUAGUCUACUGCUUACUAAAGUGUAGCUCAAUGACUCUGUGGGCUUGGGUAAUCAGCAGGUAAGCAUAGCUAUGCCCAAUGAAGCAGGGGCUGUGAGAAGAAGCCUUGAAGAGUACCUAAAGUAGAAAAUAAGUGAACUUUCUCCUAAGCCCAUAGGAAACAUCACUAUCCUGCUGAAGGCAGGGCAGAGGGAACACAGCAGAGUAGGCUCAGAAUAACUGGGAUUUGGGCACUGAUAUUAAUGUCACCAUAUCUACACUUAUUGAUUGUUGAGAUUAUACAUUUGGCUUGAAACCACAGGAACUAAUAUACUCUAAAUAUAAGCUGAGAAAAAUUAAAAAUAACCACAACUACAACAGUAGAAAGAGAAAAUAUAUGAAUGCCAAGAAUCUAAUGUGUAAAUUAACUACAAGGGUUUAGAAGUUUUGGGCAUCUCCCUGGGGAUUAGCUGUGCUCAGUCUCCCCUCCAGGAAAUCAUUUACAACUCUAUGUCUGUUACCCCAAAAUGACUUAAAUGAAGUUUAGGAUAAGACAGAGACAAGUUCAGAACAAGACAUGGGUGAGGUUCAGAAGAAUGAAAUUGAAAUUAUAUGAAUUUCCAAUUGUUAGAGAUGCAUGAGUGAGAUACAGGUUUUCAAGUGUUGUGAUGUCAUACCAUAAAAUGAUUAUAAACAUUUAGGAAACAAUCUCUCCUGUGGAAUCAGGAAUCAUUACUAAAUAUCACAAUUAUAGUGGAGACGCUGAAGAAGUCAAUAUAUGUGUUCUGAAAAACUUGAUUAAAUAAACUUCAAGGACACAGAGAAAGGCGCUGUGAUCUGUUCUCUGCAAAGGGCCUGAUAUAUUUAGAUUUUCAUUAAGAUGGGCUGAAACACAAAAUGUCUUCAGUUAUCCAGGAAAUGUAAUUAACCACUUCUUAAGAUUUCUACUUAAUCAAUGCUAUUUUUCCCCAUAUUUGGUUAAUUGAACUGUCUGCCUCCACUAUAGUCUGAGGUAUGUGGCUAAUUUUGGCCAGCAAUAUCAAGGACAUGAAACUCAAGGUAAUUUUUUUCCCUCCAAAAUAGCCUCUAUAUUUUCG